GCAUGGUGGGGGUUGGAAAGAUUUUUUGGUCUGGGAUGGGCUCGCGGCCUAUCAGCUUGUUGGUGAGGUAAUGGCUCACCAAGGCGUCGACGGGUAGCCGGCCUGAGAGGGUGACCGGCCACACUGGGACUGAGACACGGCCCAGACUCCUACGGGAGGCAGCAGUGGGGAAUAUUGCACAAUGGGCGAAAGCCUGAUGCAGCAACGCCGCGUGAGGGAUGACGGCCUUCGGGUUGUAAACCUCUUUUAGCAGGGAAGAAGCGAAAGUGACGGUACCUGCAGAAAAAGCGCCGGCUAACUACGUGCCAGCAGCCGCGGUAAUACGUAGGGCGCAAGCGUUAUCCGGAAUUAUUGGGCGUAAAGAGCUCGUAGGCGGUUUGUCGCGUCUGCUGUGAAAUCCCGAGGCUCAACCUCGGGCCUGCAGUGGGUACGGGCAGACUAGAGUGCGGUAGGGGAGAUUGGAAUUCCUGGUGUAGCGGUGGAAUGCGCAGAUAUCAGGAGGAACACCGAUGGCGAAGGCAGAUCUCUGGGCCGUAACUGACGCUGAGGAGCGAAAGGGUGGGGAGCAAACAGGCUUAGAUACCCUGGUAGUCCACCCCGUAAACGUUGGGAACUAGUUGUGGGGACCAUUCCACGGUUUCCGUGACGCAGCU
This 653-nucleotide ribosomal RNA is filed under the name Microbacterium aurantiacum. RNAcentral's name for it is "partial 16S ribosomal RNA". It matches the Rfam family "Bacterial small subunit ribosomal RNA", at positions 188 to 853 of the family's 1533-position model. Lineage: Bacteria; Bacillati; Actinomycetota; Actinomycetes; Micrococcales; Microbacteriaceae. The record is from RNAcentral.